This 467-nucleotide ribosomal RNA is filed under the name uncultured bacterium. RNAcentral's name for it is "partial 16S ribosomal RNA". It matches the Rfam family "Bacterial small subunit ribosomal RNA", at positions 28 to 507 of the family's 1533-position model. The record is from RNAcentral.
GACGAACGCUGGCGGCGUGCUUAACACAUGCAAGUCGAACGGAAAGGCCCUGCUUUUGUGGGGUGCUCGAGUGGCGAACGGGUGAGUAACACGUGAGUAACCUGCCCUUGACUUUGGGAUAACUUCAGGAAACUGGGGCUAAUACCGGAUAGGAGCUCCUGCUGCAUGGUGGGGGUUGGAAAGUUUCGGCGGUUGGGGAUGGACUCGCGGCUUAUCAGCUUGUUGGUGGGGUAGUGGCUUACCAAGGCUUUGACGGGUAGCCGGCCUGAGAGGGUGACCGGCAACAUUGGGACUGAGAUACGGCCCAGACUCCUACGGGAGGCAGCAGUGGGGAAUAUUGCACAAUGGGCGGAAGCCGAUGCAGCAACGCCGCGUGCGGGAUGACGGCCUUCGGGUUGUAAACCGCUUUCGCCUGUGACGAAGCGUGAGUGACGGUAAUGGGUAAAGAAGCACCGGCUAACUACGUG